AUUUUAUAUGAGAGUUUGAUCCUGGCUCAGGACGAACGCUGGCGGCGUGCCUAAUACAUGCAAGUCGAACGCACGAAGUUGAAGAGCUUGCUCUUUAACCAAGUGAGUGGCGGACGGGUGAGUA
RNAcentral lists this ribosomal RNA (124 nucleotides) under Carnobacterium maltaromaticum. RNAcentral's name for it is "partial 16S ribosomal RNA". It matches the Rfam family "Bacterial small subunit ribosomal RNA", at positions 1 to 112 of the family's 1533-position model. Lineage: Bacteria; Bacillati; Bacillota; Bacilli; Lactobacillales; Carnobacteriaceae. The record is from RNAcentral.